AUUGAACGCUGGCGGCAGGCUUAACACAUGCAAGUCGAGCGGGGGAAGGUAGCUUGCUACUGGACCUAGCGGCGGACGGGUGAGUAAUGCUUAGGAAUCUGCCUAUUAGUGGGGGACAACAUCUCGAAAGGGAUGCUAAUACCGCAUACGUCUUACGGGAGAAAGCAGGGGAUCUUCGGACCUUGCGCUAAUAGAUGAGCCUAAGUCGGAUUAGCUAGUUGGUGGGGUAAAGGCCUACCAAGGCGACGAUCUGUAGCGGGUCGGAGAGGAUGAUCCGCCACACUGGGACUGAGGCACGGCCCAGACUCCUACGGGAGGCAGCAGUGGGGAAUAUUGGACAAUGGGGGGAACCCUGAUCCAGCCAUGCCGCGUGUGUGAAGAAGGCCUUAUGGUUGUAAAGCACUUUAAGCGAGGAGGAGGCUACUCUAGUUAAUACCUAGGGAUAGUGGACGUUACUCGCAGAAUAAGCACCGGCUAACUCUGUGCCAGCAGCCGCCGCGG
This 501-nucleotide ribosomal RNA is filed under the name uncultured bacterium. RNAcentral's name for it is "partial 16S ribosomal RNA". It matches the Rfam family "Bacterial small subunit ribosomal RNA", at positions 30 to 523 of the family's 1533-position model. The record is from RNAcentral.